This 468-nucleotide ribosomal RNA is filed under the name uncultured bacterium. RNAcentral describes it as "partial 16S ribosomal RNA". It matches the Rfam family "Bacterial small subunit ribosomal RNA", at positions 28 to 507 of the family's 1533-position model. The record is from RNAcentral.
GACGAACGCUGGCGGCGUGCUUAACACAUGCCAGUCGAACGGAAAGACCCUGCUUUUGUGGGGUGCUCGAGUGGCGAACGGGUGAGUAACACGUGAGUAACCUGCCCUUGACUUUGGGAUAACUUCAGGAAACUGGGGCUAAUACCGGAUAGGAGCUCCUGCUGCAUGGUGGGGGUUGGAAAGUUUCGGCGGUUGGGGAUGGACUCGCGGCUUAUCAGCUUGUUGGUGGGGUAGUGGCUUACCAAGGCUUUGACGGGUAGCCGGCCUGAGAGGGUGACCGGCCACAUUGGGACUGAGAUACGGCCCAGACUCCUACGGGAGGCAGCAGUGGGGAAUAUUGCACAAUGGGCGGAAGCCUGAUGCAGCAACGCCGCGUGCGGGAUGACGGCCUUCGGGUUGUAAACCGCUUUCGCCUGUGACGAAGCGUGAGUGACGGUAAUGGGUAAAGAAGCACCGGCUAACUACGUG